This 1711-nucleotide ribosomal RNA is filed under the name Paramecium biaurelia. RNAcentral's name for it is "partial small subunit ribosomal RNA". It matches the Rfam family "Eukaryotic small subunit ribosomal RNA". The record is from RNAcentral. Lineage: Eukaryota; Ciliophora; Oligohymenophorea; Peniculida; Parameciidae.
AAGUCAUAUGCUUGUCUUAAAGAUUAAGCCAUGCAUGUCUAAGUAUAAAUAGUAUACAGUGAAACUGCGAAUGGCUCAUUAAAACAGUUAUAGUUUAUUUGAUAGUGCAAAUUACAUGGAUAACCGUGGUAAUUCUAGAGCUAAUACAUGCGCAAAUACCGGACGCAAGAAUGGUAGCAUUUAUUAGAUUUAACCAUCAUAUGGUGAAUCAUAGUAACUUAGCUGACCGCGUGUAUACGUGGUAAAUCAUUCAAGUUUCUGCCCUAUCAGCUUUCGAUGGUAGUGUAUUGGACUACCAUGGCAGUCACGGGUAACGGAGAAUUAGGGUUCGAUUCCGGAGAGGGAGCCUGAGAAACGGCUACCACAUCUAAGGAAGGCAGCAGGCGCGUAAAUUACCCAAUCCCGAUUCGGGGAGGUAGUGACAAGAAAUAGCAACUCGUGCGGGUUUCCGUUACGGGAUUGCAAUGAGAUAAGUCCAAAUCCGUAAACGAUUAACAAUUGGAGGGCAAGUCUGGUGCCAGCAGCCGCGGUAAUUCCAGCUCCAAUAGCGUAUACUUAAGUUGUUGCAGUUAAAAAGCUCGUAGUUGAAAUUCGAGUCAGUUACUAGUUGGCUUUUCGUCAGUUAGUUAAUUGAUUCUCCGUCUACAAUCCCUUUUGCGCUUUAGGGUUGCAGCUGGGCGAGUAGACAAUUUACCUUGAAAAAAUUAGAGUGUUCCAGGCAGGUCUUCGCCGGAAUACAUUAGCAUGGAAUAAUGGAAUAGGACUUGGGUCUUUUGUUGGUUUUAGGACUUGAGUAAUGAUUAAUAGGGACAGAUGGGGGCAUUAGUAUUUAAUUGUCAGAGGUGAAAUUCUUGGAUUUAUUAAAGACUAACUUAUGCGAAAGCAUUUGCCAAGGAUGUUUUCAUUAAUCAAGAACGAAAGUUAGGGGAUCAAAGACGAUCAGAUACCGUCGUAGUCUUAACUAUAAACUAUACCGACUCGAGAUCGGAAGGGUAAUAUAUUAGUCCCUUUCGGCAUCGUAAGAGAAAUCAAAGUCUUUGGGUUCUGGGGGGAGUAUGGUCGCAAGGCUGAAACUUAAAGGAAUUGACGGAAGGGCACCACCAGGAGUGGAGCCUGCGGCUUAAUUUGACUCAACACGGGGAAACUUACCAGGUCAAAACAUGGAUGGGAUUGACAGAUUGAAAGCUCUUUCUUGAUUCUAUGGGUGGUGGUGCAUGGCCGUUCUUAGUUGGUGGAGUGAUUUGUCUGGUUAAUUCCGAUAACGAACGAGACCUUAACCUGCUAACUAGUUUGCUUCUGAAUAAGAGGUAUAACUUCUUAGAGGGACUAUGUAUGUAAGUGCAUGGAAGUUUAAGGCAAUAACAGGUCUGUGAUGCCCCUAGACGUCCUGGGCCGCACGCGCGCUACACUGACACGUUCAGCGAGCUUAUUUACCUGUCCCGAAAGGGCACGGGAAAUCUUGUUAGGACGUGUCGUGCUGGGGAUAGAUCUUUGCAAUUAUAAAUCUUGAACGAGGAAUUCCUUGUAAGCACAGGUCAUCAGCCUGUGCUGAAUACGUCCCUGCCCUUUGUACACACCGCCCGUCGCUCCUACCGAUUUCGAGUGAUGUGGUGAACUAUCUGGACUGCGGAUGGGCUCCAACCAUUUGCGGGAAGUUUCGUAAACCUUAUCACUUAUAGGAAGGAGAAGUCGUAACAAGGUUUCCGUAUGU